This 426-nucleotide ribosomal RNA is filed under the name uncultured Chlamydiae bacterium. Its description in RNAcentral is "bacterial SSU rRNA". It matches the Rfam family "Bacterial small subunit ribosomal RNA", at positions 958 to 1385 of the family's 1533-position model. Lineage: Bacteria; Pseudomonadati; Chlamydiota; Chlamydiia. The record is from RNAcentral.
AACGCGAAGAACCUUACCCAGGCUCGAAAUGUAAUGGACGGUAUCAGAGAUGAUACUUUCCGCAAGGACCGUUAUAUAGGUGCUGCAUGGCUGUCGUCAGCUCGUGCCGUGAGGUGUUUGGUUAAGUCCAGCAACGAGCGCAACCCUUAUCAUUAGUUGCCAACGUUUAAGGCGGGGACUCUAGUGAGACUGCCUGGGUUAACCAGGAGGAAGGUGAGGAUGACGUCAAGUCCGCAUGGCCUUUAUGUCUGGGGCUACACACGUGCUACAAUGGUCGGUACAGAAGGCAGCAAGACCGCAAGGUGGAGCAAAUCCGUAAAGCCGAUCUCAGUUCAGAUUGUAGUCUGCAACUCGACUACAUGAAGCUGGAAUUGCUAGUAAUGACGUGUCAGCAACAACGUCGUGAAUACGUUCCCGGGCCUUGUA